Molecule: ribosomal RNA, 542 nt
Filed under: uncultured Glomeromycotina
Lineage: Eukaryota; Fungi; Glomeromycota
Description: SSU rRNA
Rfam family: Eukaryotic small subunit ribosomal RNA
Source: RNAcentral
GCAAGUCUGGUGCCAGCAGCCGCGGUAAUUCCAGCUCCAAUAGCGUAUAUUAAAGUUGUUGCAGUUAAAAAGCUCGUAGUUGAAUUUCGGGGUUAGUAGGUUGGUCAUGCCUCUGGUAUGUACUGGUCUCACUGAUUCCUCCUUCCUUAUGAACCGUAAUGCCAUUAAUUUGGUGUUGCGGGGAAUUUGGACUGUUACUUUGAGAAAAUUAGAGUGUUUAAAGCAGGCUAACGCUUGAAUACAUUAGCAUGGAAUAAUGAAAUAGGACGUUCGAUCUUAUUUUGUUGGUUUCUAGGAUUGACGUAAUGAUUAAUAGGGAUAGUUGGGGGCAUUAGUAUUCAAUUGUCAGAGGUGAAAUUCUUGGAUUUAUUGAAGACUAACUACUGCGAAAGCAUUUGCCAAGGAUGUUUUCAUUAAUCAAGAACGAAAGUUAGGGGAUCGAAGACGAUCAGAUACCGUCGUAGUCUUAACCAUAAACUAUGCCGACUAGGGAUCGGAUGAUGUUAAUUUUUUAAUGACUCAUUCGGCGCCUUACGGGAAAC